UUGAGAGGCUCAGGGACUACCAGGUUAAACAACAAAGCUUGCUCCCGGCCCAGUAAAAUCGUCACAUCGGGAGCCUAACGCAUUGUUCCGCUACCCUGGUGAUCACUUCAGCUGACCUGUCCUAAGACUACAAUGAAACUACAAAACAGUGUGCCUACUCAAAGUCUCUCAGGUCUGGUAUGUUUUGUGCAGGAUAAUGGUGCUAGCUACACAAAAGUUCAGCAGCCUGUAGGAGAAGUUGACUGUGACCACUCAGAGACCAAAUCCAUCACAAAAGGAAAUAUUCUUUAGAACCAUGCAACUGGCCAAUGGGAUCCACUGGUCUUUAGCACACCCAGCAAGCCAGUAAAGAUCUGAUGCUCCCUUGCUUCUGCGAGCUGCUUGAUGACUCUCUUGGUCAGUGUUCACACCUUCAAUUCCACUGAAGGACUGCCCCUCCUCCAAUAAAACACUGC
RNAcentral lists this long non-coding RNA (455 nucleotides) under Fukomys damarensis (Damara mole-rat). RNAcentral's name for it is "lncRNA (ENSFDAG00000022087.1)". The record is from RNAcentral. Lineage: Eukaryota; Metazoa; Chordata; Mammalia; Rodentia; Bathyergidae.